AUGCAACAAGUCAUGAAAGAGUUGGAGGAGAAGCUUGCUGACAGUGAAUCAUCCAAGGAAAAAUAUGACAAUUUAUCCCAGGAACACCAAGAUCAGAUAAGGCAGCUGAGUGAGGAGGUGAUACAGGUCCAGGCAGAACUAAAACGGCAACAGCAUCUGAACUCAGAACAGCAGUCAUGUGCCCAACAAGAUGAUCAACAUCAGCUACAAAUACAGGAACUACGAGCUGCAUUGGAGACCAUGACAGAGGAAAGGAGCCAGUUGAACAGUGACUUGAAGCAAAAUAUGGAAAUGGUGAGGCCAUGUCUGUGUUUUUGUUCAUCCAACCACUGCACUUUGAUGGUGUAGCUAACUGUAAACAAAAACAUGGAAGUGCCAGUUAUAUUAAUGUGAUAUUACUCUCUCCUCUAUAGACUGCAGAGACUCAGGGACUUCUCCAUUCCAUCCAAGAGGAGCUCGGACAACAGAAACAAGUGAACUCUGAACUUGAGAGCCAAAGUUUACUGAAGGAGUCUCUUCUAGAACAGCAGGUUAGUUUAUUUGACUUUCAUUUUAGUAGUAUGUUUCCUCAGUUGUUUUGUAAUAAAACAAUUAGAUCUUACCUUUCUUUCUCCUCAAAGAUGAGGCAGCUGAGUGAUGCACUUGAGUCUGGGCAAGCUGAGAGAGAGCGUCUCCUGUUUGAGAAUACAGACAGCUCUCAGAAUCAUGCAGAGGAGUUGGAGAAGCUGCGCUCUACUGUGACCUCACUGACUGACGAGAGAGACCAGUUCCAGGAGAUACUGGAGGGAAUCCGGGAGGAGAGGAACCAGCUCAAGAGAGACCUGGAGGAGAAUGUGGACAUGGUGGGUGAUUGAUCGAUUUAAAUACACUAUUUUGAAAAUGCACACACUAAUUGCAAUUGGAAGCUUUUUGUAUUACAAGUUUACGUUUUAUAUUUUUGCAGAUGAUUGAAAAUCAGGAGGAACUACGGGUGGCACUUGAAAAGAUAUACCAUCAAGAGGAAAAUAUGAAACCUACGGAGACUGCAAAUCUAGAGGAGCUGCAAAGUCAGGUAAAAAUGUGCUUUUACUUGCACAACAGAAUUCAUUGUCACAUCAAUCGAAGUGUAGAUUCUAAAAUGAAUGCUAACCUACUCUUCAGAUGAAGCAGCUGAAUGAGGAGCUUGAGUCUGUGCGAACUGAGAGAGAGCAUCUCCUGUUUGAGAAGACCAAUAGCCUUCCGAAUCAUGCAGAGGAGUUGGAGAAGCUGCUCUCUACUGUGACCUCACUGACUGGAGAGAGAGACCAGCUCCAGGAGAUACUGGAGGGAGUCAGAGAGGAUAGGAACCAGCUCAAGAGAGACCUGGAGGACAAUGUAGAGAUGGUGAGUCUGAGUUACUUUUAUAUCUAUUGAAAUCCAUAUUUUCUGCCUUUAUCCUAUUUUGUGUAUCCAUGUGAUUUGACAGAAUACAUGUAUUUGUCCGACAGCAACAUCUGAACUCAGCACACCAGCCCCAUAGAGAACAUCAGGAGACUGACCUACGUUUGCAGGUAAGUCAUUGUUUAUACACUGAGUGCACAAAACAUUAAGAACACCUCUCUUUAUGACAUGGACUAACCAGGUGAAAGCUAUGACCCCUUAUUGAUGUCACUUGUUAAGUCCACUUCAAUCUGUGUAGAUAAAGAGGAGGAGACUGGUUAAAGAAGGAUUUUUAAGCCUUGAAACAAAGAUUGUGUAUGUGUGCCAUUGAGGGUGAAUGGCAUGACAAAUUAUUUAAGAACUACAACGCUGCAGGUUUUUUCAAGCACAGUUUUCCGUGUCAAGAAUGGUCCAACACCUAAAGGACAUCCAGCCAACUUGACACAUCUGUGGGAAACAUUGGAGUCAACAUGGGCCAGCAUCCCUAUGGAAUGCUUUUGAUACUUUGUAGAGUCCAUGCCCCAACGAAUUGAGGCUGUUCUGAGGGCCCAAAGCGCAGUGGGUGAUUAACUCAAUAUUAGGAAGAUGUUCUUAAUGUUUUGUACACUGUAUAUUCAGGUGAUGCCGAACACCAUGGUUCAACUGUAUUUGUUUAUUAAUUAUUG
This 2063-nucleotide long non-coding RNA is filed under the name Oncorhynchus kisutch (coho salmon). RNAcentral describes it as "lncRNA (ENSOKIG00005014586.1)". Lineage: Eukaryota; Metazoa; Chordata; Actinopteri; Salmoniformes; Salmonidae. The record is from RNAcentral.